AAUUUUGAAACGUAAUACAAUAAUUACAAUAUCAAUAAAAGAUGAAACUGGGAUAAAAGGGAGUGUAUUUCAUAAUUGUGAAUUGAGUUUAAUUUAUACUUAAGAUGGCAAUAAACUCCGUUAAAGAUUUUGGAAAAGCUUGGUGGUCUGAGGUGUACAAUCGAAUAAUAGGAGCGGCCGUGUUCCUGGACGACUACAGCUCAGAAUGUUUACAUUGGGACGGAGGAUUGUUGAAUCUCAUAUACGGGGGAGCUGUCUCUGUGAAGAGCUUAUCGCCUUUUGAGUUUGCAACAAAAGACCAAAAGAAAGCAGUGUUCAUCACUCAAUCCGCGAGCACACAGCUCCGCACAGUCCGAGAGAUCAUCAAACAUAGUGAUUUUGCUCACUGCAUGUUGAUAUGCACCGUCAGCCUGGAUGUGAUUUAUCUAGAGCUGAAUGAAGGGAAGGAUGUGAGCGAUAUGGUGGCGACGGGGAAGGCUCCCAUGGAGGCUACUAAGCAGUUGGAGGGGAUGCUGUUGGAAUGGAUCGGUAAAAAACAAUGUGCCGUAGAAGUGGUUCAUCUCCCGCUAUUCACAAUAUCACCAACAAAUGUAGUGUUCCUCACACCCCCAUACCACAAAGUAUAUCCAGCAUAUGACGGCAAACUCACAACAGAGUCAGCAUCCAUAGACCUGUACACGCUGAACAAAGAGGAGCGGGCUCAAGUGCGGAGGCUGGCUAGUGGUUUGAACAGUAUUAUGGAGUCUAUGAAUUUGAAAGAGGAUGUGUAUUACAUGGGAACUUUCAGCUCAUUGAUAGCUGGGGUGUUGGAAAAUUCGCCCGUUUGUUUGGCUCGGAGAAAGAAUUGCACAAGUCCCGCGUCCCUAAUCGUCAUAGACCGCACUCUAGAUGUCUGCGGAGUGACCAGCCAUUCAAUGGAAUCUGUCCUCGACAAGAUUAUGACAGUUUUGCCAAGGUUUCCAGGACACAGCAACGAUGUCGCGGUUGAUAUGUCGCCGUUGUGUGAAGCUAAUGUAAUCUCGCAUCCAGAAGACCUCCAGCUCGCCCCCGGCUGCCUUUACCACGCCAACGAUGACGCCUGCACUUCCACCUUCGACCACAUGAUCAACAAGAGCCAGAAGGAGGUCAUGUUUCACCUCUACAACAAGCUGUCCAAGAUAGAUGUGCAGAGGUCGCCGAGUCCCAAGAUGCUGCUCAAGGUCACGCCUCAGAGCAUUGAGAAGAUCGUCGCGGCCGCUAAAGGCAACUACGACAUAAUAGAAAAGCACAUCGGCGUACUGCAACAGGCGUUAGGCGUGGUCCACACGCUGAAGUCCCCCAAGCGUUCGCAGGUGGAACUGCUGCAAAAUUUAGAGCGGCAGGUGCUGCAGAGUCUGGCCGCUAGUCGCGACUCCACCAGCGUACUCCACCAGAUCAGCCACCUAAUAAAGACCAGAAAAGACCGCAACCUCCCCCUAGAAACCCUACUCGCCCUCAUAGUCCACGUGUAUUCCCUCACCGGCACUGAAGUUUCCUUCUCGAAACAACACGAAGACAGCCUGACUGAGACGUUGAGCGUGGCCAUAUUCGAGGACCAUAAGACGCUGUUCGCUGACCACGGGCUGAGGGGCAGCCCGGAGCAUUGCGACGACGUAUCCAAGUCGAUCAUGGGGAGGCUGAAGGAGAUUGCGAUGAUGAGGAGGAAUUUGCAGAAGUACAACUCGGUUCUAAAGCCGUGCGAGACAGGCGGGGGACACGAGUACCGUGGCGUAUUACAACAGUUAGUAGAAGACCUGGUGGACACGGAGCGACCGGAUCUAACGGACCUGCGACACAGGAACGAGGGACUCAAGGAAUUACUGCGGAGCGGACUUAACAUCCUAACGAGCAAGAAAACUCGCAGCACGAAGCACCCGCUCGACAGCCCCACCGUGAUCAUCUUCGUAGUUGGCGGAAUUACGGCCGAGGAGUGCAAGAGAAUUAACAGGACCGUGAUCACGAGCGGCGUCGACACGGCCGUGUUCAUCGGUUCCACAAAAUUCGUCACUCCAGUGGAAGCCAUGAGAGACGUCCUCGCCUUAUAGCAGUACUCACCUUUGAUGGCGCGCAAGAAAAGCACCAGCGCCGUCAAUGACGCUUGCCGAAAGAUGGUGUAUUAAGUUCUGUAACUUGUCGAUAGAUGGCGUUAUAAUUAAGUGCAUAACCUAAAUGGAGCUGCUUGGUGGGGAUUUGGACUGGGCGCAUGCUCACAGGAAGACGAGGAUCAGAGAGCGGAGUUUUAAAAAAUCGUACCGCUUUUUUUUUAGAAUGCAAUACGGUUUCUAAAAAUUUAAUUAGUUAUCUUGAGGAUUUUCUCUAGUGACUUCAUAGAUUCGAAUCUUGAUUUUCUUACUUUCGCUCGUAAGAAAUCACGAACAGUCUAAAACGCACUUUAAAAUUUUGUAACAAUUUAUGCACAAAAGCUAAAAAUAUGAAAAUUUUAUUUUUGUGUAUUGCUUUUUGUUAGGGAAAUCGGGUAUUGGCCUACUGAUUUCCAUAGGUAUGUAAUUUCUUAAAUUCUUACAUUAUAAUUAUAACAUAUAACGGGGUACCUAGCUAAGCUUUUAUGACCCUUACCGUUUAAGUGUCGUCGUGUUUGCUAGAUAAUUAAUGUGUAUUUUGGCUGUUAUUCUUAUGCUAGAUGUACUUGGUUGCUUCAAAAGUAACAUUAUACAAUGUUAAUCUAUGUAAUACUGUGAAUAUUUAUAAUACAUUUUAAAUGUGACAUUGUCUAUGAAAAGGGAACUUAUUAUCGAUGGCGCUUACGCCAUUAUUAACGAUGCUCCGAUAUAAAUACAAUUACGCUGUGUGGCGUAAGCGCCAUCGACAAUAAGGUCCCUUUUCAUAGAUAAUGCCUCAAAUAAUUUAAUUAAUUGUAAGUGCAAUGCAAUUACAAUGCAGAUAUAAACUGUUAAAAUGUUAUUAAUAUUAUUUAAUUUAUUGUUUAGAGUCAAGAUAUGCCUAUGGGUGAUUUUUAAUA
RNA transcript from Cydia fagiglandana, 2998 nucleotides. It is a transcript of the gene named sec1 family domain-containing protein 2-like, with no coding region annotated. The record is from RefSeq and is a predicted model, not a curated record. The transcript is spliced from 12 exons. Lineage: Eukaryota; Metazoa; Arthropoda; Insecta; Lepidoptera; Tortricidae.